UAGGGAAUCUUCGGCAAUGGACGAAAGUCUGACCGAGCAACGCCGCGUGAGUGAAGAAGGUUUUCGGGUCGUAAAGCUCUGUUGUUGGUGAAGAAGGAUAGAGGCAGUAACUGGUCUUUAUUUGACGGUAAUCAACCAGAAAGUCACGGCUAACUACGUGCCAC
Molecule: ribosomal RNA, 164 nt
Filed under: uncultured bacterium
Lineage: Bacteria
Description: partial 16S rRNA
Rfam family: Bacterial small subunit ribosomal RNA
Source: RNAcentral